Long non-coding RNA from Amborella trichopoda, 1085 nucleotides. RefSeq lists it as uncharacterized. NCBI's taxonomy places the organism in Eukaryota, Viridiplantae, Streptophyta, Magnoliopsida, Amborellales, Amborellaceae. The record is from RefSeq and is a predicted model, not a curated record.
UGUUGUUUGAAUUGGAAUUCGUAGUUUAGAGACGAGGGAGAAGAAUUGGGGUGAAGAAUUAGGGCAAAUAAGAGUGGGGAUCAUGCAACAAGGGUGCAUUUUAUUUUGUAGUUUUUAUACGCAAUGUGGUUGAAACUAUCUAGCCAUCUGAUCAAGAUUGGACAACUGAAGUGAGCCUGCGGGUAAAAAUUAUAGUAUGGCAAAUUCAUUGGCAUUUUAAAUUGUUUUCACCUCAUUCUCAAUUGUCUGAUCCAUCAAGGUCAGAUGGAUGUGAGUCUCACGACUAGUAUAUCACAUGUGUAUGAUGACAAAUAGGAAGGUUUCCCAACCUUGAGUUUUGUUUUUGUUUUCGUUUUUGUUUUUGAUUUUCAUGGGAAGUAAAGAUUUUGUGGUUGGAGGUUAUCGGAUUUAUGUAUUGGUCGAGUACUAUCUUUUAGUUAUGUUUAUAGGGAGGCUAAUGAUGUUGCAGAUGGACGGGCAAGGAUGUGGGUAGAUUUACAAUUUUUCACAAGUGGUACUUUAAUUGUGUAAAUACAAAAUGUAAAUCCAUUUGUCUUGCAUCAUGUUAUUAAUGAGUUGUAAAAAAAACAAAAAAAAAAAGAGAUGUAAAUCCAUUUGUAUUGCGUUAUGUUAUUAAUGAGUUGAAAAAAAACAAAAACAAAAAAGAUUUUCAUGGGAAUUAUCUUUGCACAGAGAUUGAAUAUUGUGCUACAUGCAGCAUACUGUUUUUAUCUAUUGUACAUGCAGAAGGCUCUUCAUAUGUUACCCAUGUUCUCCACUGUACAUCUCACUGACAGACUGUAAAAGAGAUGAAUCUAUGAUCGAGGAAGAACAGUGGACCAGUUAAUUUCCACCUUCCAUCAUUGACAAUCGACGGUAGAGGCCUACAUACCCACAACAUUUCAGGAUGCUGCAUGUAAUAUAGAAGAAUUUCGAUUUGGUAUUGUGUAACGUGAUGCUUGUAAUACACUGUUUAUAUGUAUGAUAUGCAGUCCCAAUUGUCCAUCACAAAGAACGGACAGUGUAGAUGAACCAUGUAAUGGUGUCAUUAUUAAUUUCAUUAAAGGGAAAUAAAUCACCAGGUA